Molecule: regulatory RNA element, 176 nt
Organism: Clostridium sp. CAG:169
Lineage: Bacteria; Bacillati; Bacillota; Clostridia; Eubacteriales; Clostridiaceae
Rfam family: Lysine riboswitch aptamer
About the family: Riboswitches are metabolite binding domains within certain messenger RNAs that serve as precision sensors for their corresponding targets. Allosteric rearrangement of mRNA structure is mediated by ligand binding, and this results in modulation of gene expression.
Source: Rfam
GCAGACGAUAGAGGCGCACCUUUCAUCAGUAGCGCGGGCUAGGCUGCCAAAGCCGCUGGAUGCCUGUGCCAAAGGGAACGGUGCCGAAGGGAAUAUCUCGGCGGGUAUUGCCCUGGGGGUGUCCUUAACAGGGACACAACUGUCACCGCAGCUUGCGGUGAAGCGCUAUCCAUCCU